GACAGAGGGUGCAAACGUUGUUCGGAAUUACUGGGCGUAAAGCGCGUGUAGGCGGCUAUGCAAGUCGGGCGUGAAAUCCCUCGGCUCAACCGAGGAAGUGCACUCGAAACUGCGUAGCUAGAGUCUCGGAGAGGAAGGAGGAAUACUUGGUGUAGAGGUGAAAUUCGUAGAUAUCAAGUGGAACACCGGUGGCGAAGGCGGCCUUCUGGACGAUGACUGACGCUGAGACGCGAAAGCGUGGGGAGCAAACAGG
RNAcentral lists this ribosomal RNA (253 nucleotides) under uncultured bacterium. RNAcentral's name for it is "partial 16S ribosomal RNA". It matches the Rfam family "Bacterial small subunit ribosomal RNA", at positions 524 to 776 of the family's 1533-position model. The record is from RNAcentral.